Molecule: long non-coding RNA, 552 nt
Filed under: Sitophilus oryzae (rice weevil)
Lineage: Eukaryota; Metazoa; Arthropoda; Insecta; Coleoptera; Curculionidae
Description: uncharacterized LOC115885570, transcript variant X1
Source: RNAcentral
UUGAUGUCAGACAAUUCCAUGAUGGAAGUUGAAGCUACUAUUCCUGCUGUUCCUAUUACAUCUGAAGCGGUUUCAGAAUCUACUUCACCAGAUGUAAUUGCUAUUCCAUCAACAUCCAAGGAAGUUACAUCUGAAGCUGUUUCGGAAUCUACUUCACCAGAUGUAAUCGCUAUUCCAUCAACAUCCAAGGAAGUUACAUCUGAAGGUCAGUAAAAUAUUUUAUAAACACAAGGCUGAAUACAGGGUGGCGCACCUCAUUCAUCUUGGUUGAUUAUACGAAAACGUAAAGAUAUAGAAACAAAAUAUUUUAUGGGUAUAUGUGGAAAGACAAUGUACUUAAUUUAAAAUUAUUUUAAAAUGUACAGGGUGUGUCAGGACUAAGAUCCAUACCAAAGUUAUAUUUUUUCUUAUGGAACACACGGUAUUUUAUUUCACUUUGGGAUUCUUGGACAUAAAAUAAGGUAUUUAUUAUAAGGGUUUAAUAUGUUUAAAAGGUUUGGUUUUUGAGAUAUUUAAAUACAUUUAAAUAUGCAUGUUAUAAUAACAAAGUUU